RNAcentral lists this ribosomal RNA (274 nucleotides) under uncultured bacterium. RNAcentral describes it as "partial 16S ribosomal RNA". It matches the Rfam family "Bacterial small subunit ribosomal RNA", at positions 524 to 796 of the family's 1533-position model. The record is from RNAcentral.
UACGUAGGGUCCGAGCGUUGUCCGGAUUUAUUGGGCGUAAAGAGCUCGUAGGCGGCUCAGUAAGUCAGAUGUGAAAACUCAGGGCUCAACCCGGAGACGCCAUCUGAUACUGCUGUGGCUUGAGUCUGGUAGGGGAUCACGGAAUUCCUGGUGUAGCGGUGAAAUGCGCAGAUAUCAGGAGGAACACCGAUGGCGAAGGCAGUGAUCUGGGCCAGUACUGACGCUGAGGAGCGAAAGCGUGGGUAGCAAACAGGAUUAGAAACCCCAGUAGUCC